UCAAAGUCGUAUCUUGUUUGACAAAGUCAAAGAUUAACACAGAAUUACAGAAUUGCCCUAUCAUUUUUGUAUAUUUGCAUCUAUUAUCUCUAACCUUCAAGAAUCAAAAUCAUUUUAGUGAUCUCUCCGCAGAGAAAAAUCAGCUGCAAAAAAUUACUAUGGUGAGGAACUGAUCUUUAACUACUUUGAGGAUGCAGAUGGUGAGGAACUGAUCUUCAACUACUUUGAGCUUGUUGCAGUGAACUGCCUCUGUUGUAUCAUACUCCGUUUGACCUGUCAUGGAAACCUUAAUACGUAAUCAAUAGCCAGAUGACAGGGAGUUAUCCCGCUAUAAACUUGACACACCAACAAUCCAGUUGAGGAGCUUAAAAGAUAAAAAUACACUGAAGUCAUUCCAAUUUUCUCUUCUGCCUCAGAAUUUUAUAAGCUUCCAUGGUUAUAGUGAAGAUGGAAUUCCGACGCCAAGCAUCUGAAGUCAGUUAAGUUACUCCAAGCAUCUUAAGGGUACGUAAGUUACUUAUGUAUAUAUGUAACUAAAGACCAUAAAAAUUUGAAUAUGAUGCGGUUGGUGGCAUCAAGCAGCUGGAAAAUUUAUAAAUCAAGGUAGAUUUGCAUAGGAAAUCAAGGAUGUAUGUUAAGUUUGAGAUGCACUGCACUACGCUGAACCGGACCAAAAAGAAUUUAUUAGUAAAUUGUUAAAUGAAGAGAUUGAAAUGGUCCUUUCCAUUUAACUCCAUAUUUUUUAUCUGACCAUUUUUCUUUUCUUUGAUUCCUUAGAUGUUGUUAUCGUAAUUGUCAUACUAAUCUUCAUUCUUAUCUUCUCUGCUCAAUGGUUUAGCACCGACAAUUUUGAAAGCACCAUUUGCUCCAAUCAUCCAUCUAGCUAGGGUUUACUUUUAUUAGUACUUUGCACCCAUACUCAUAGUAUGGGUAUGGUUCAACUCAAAUAAUAAUCAAAUCAAUUGAGACAAAAAUUUUGCCCCAGUUGUUUCAUUUAGGAAUACAAUUAGAUAUUACAUUUAGGAGAGACGGGUCUCUGCAUUUUCAGCACAAAUAAUAAUUCAACUAACUUAAUCCCGUGCAACGCACGGGAAAAAUACUAGUGCUUCAUAAUUAUGUUAUGUUUUAGCUUCUUGUAACGAACACCCACUGUAGUACCAUACCAUCACCCCUAACAUGGUAGACACUGAUCUUAGCCUCUUAAAUCUUUAGGCCAUCCAUUAGCGGGCAACAAGUAUCUUAGAAACAUGUGUAUUUUUAUUGGCAGUAAUUUGGGAAUGUUUGGUCUCAAUCAGUGUGCUAUUUUGUUUAUUCAGGAACUAGAUCUAUGCUUCUUCUACUUUUGCAAAGCCCUGUAACAUAAUCAUGUUAUGUUCAUUUUCCAUUGUCGUGUCUAACGCAUCUGUAUUUGACCUUCAUGCCUGCCUAUCUUUGGUUGCCAGCUACUGAGCUACACCUAAAAGAUGGAUAUGUAUGAUUUUGGAGUUAAAACAAUCUGUUCUAUGCAUAUAUUGGUAUUGUUGAUCGACUGAAUUCGUUA
Long non-coding RNA from Papaver somniferum (opium poppy), 1540 nucleotides. RefSeq lists it as uncharacterized. The transcript has 3 exons. The record is from RefSeq and is a predicted model, not a curated record. Lineage: Eukaryota; Viridiplantae; Streptophyta; Magnoliopsida; Ranunculales; Papaveraceae.